Molecule: small nucleolar RNA, 106 nt
Filed under: Olea europaea subsp. europaea
Lineage: Eukaryota; Viridiplantae; Streptophyta; Magnoliopsida; Lamiales; Oleaceae
Source: RNAcentral
CAUAUAAGAGUGUAAUUGCUGUAAAUAUGGGCGGCAAGCAAUGCAUAGGCUUUAGGUGGGAAUGCCUCGUGUUACAGCACGUCCAUAAAGAAACCGAUGGAUAGGG